UACGUAGGGUGCGAGCGUUAAUCGGAAUUACUGGGCGUAAAGCGUGCGCAGGCGGUUUUGUAAGCCAGAUGUGAAAGCCCCGGGCUUAACCUGGGAAUGGCAUUUGGGACUGCAAGGCUUGAGUGCGGCAGAGGAGACUGGAAUUCCUGGUGUAGCAGUGAAAUGCGUAGAUAUCAGGAGGAAUACCGAUGGCGAAGGCAGGCCUCUGGGCUGACACUGACGCUCAUGCACGAAAGCGUGGGGAGCAAACAGG
RNAcentral lists this ribosomal RNA (253 nucleotides) under uncultured bacterium. Its description in RNAcentral is "partial 16S ribosomal RNA". It matches the Rfam family "Bacterial small subunit ribosomal RNA", at positions 524 to 776 of the family's 1533-position model. The record is from RNAcentral.